Vicugna pacos (alpaca) is the source of this 5940-nucleotide non-coding RNA. NCBI's taxonomy places the organism in Eukaryota, Metazoa, Chordata, Mammalia, Artiodactyla, Camelidae. The record is from RefSeq and is a predicted model, not a curated record.
AGACUCCGGUUCCCUCUCUCAUCGACAGACGGGUCGGCGGUCAGUAGGAGGAGGGUUAGCUGUCCCCUGAGAUCCCCACAGGGAUUCACUUGGCCUCACACAUGCUUGUGAGCAAACACGACGGAGCAGGAGGUACUGAUGGUUCUAAAGGUAGAAGAAAACUUCAGAGACUCAGCCAUCAAGACACCGUCUCGUUUGACCCAAAGGGGACGAGGUGGCGUCUGAGCCCAGCCCCUAGUAUCGUGCACCACGGUAGCAAGUGUCCAGGCGAAGUGGGUUGGGUCCACACCUUGGGGGUGAGAAUCUGGUCAAAGUGCUGAUCGGUGAGGACGGGGCAGGGAGUCGGGGUCGGGGUCAGGAGGCUGGCUUUUCCCACACUCUUUACACCCUCGGCGGUUUUACUCUGUGCGUUUGCAGUUUGCUUCAAAAACGAGGAUAAACACGCCACUAAAAGCAGCCAGCCGCUUGAAGUGUCUGGUGCCAGCUUUCGGGGUAUGACAGGUGUGGAAAUCCCACGACAACCCAGCCCCCAGUUUCUCUGUGCGCACGGGCCAUGGGCGCCACAGCCAGGAGUGCCCCAGGAGUGGCUGUGGCCUGGUCGAUGGCAGUGGUGCAUCUUCUCCUUCACAUGUCCCUCCUCAUCCCUGCAAUUCUUCAAGAGCACCCCACACACACACAUUUACUUAUUUACGGCGGGCUGACGUUGCAGCACUGGUGGCCGAUGAAUGGUCAGCUCAUCUCGGGUCCUUCUAGCCAUGAUUACACUUCUGAACGAAGACGCCUCCAACUGUUAGGCCUUUAUUCUGGGAGGAAGAGAGAGAGGCUGACUGUAAGUUCUGCUGCCGUGGACCACAAAUAUCUUCAUCUGCUUGGGCUGCAGCAAAAAAGUUACCAGAGACCGGGCAGCUUGUAAACAACAGAACUGUAUUUACUUCUGGAGGCCGGAAGCCCUAGACCGCGGCGCUGGCAGCCUCGGGGCCCGGGGAGGGCCCGCUUCCUCAUUCUGCUGCCAUCUGCUCGCUGCGGCCUGACGUGGUGGAGGGAGUGCAGGAGCGCUUGGGUCCCUUUUAUAAAAACACGACCCCAUCCGUGAGGGCUCCACCGUUGGCACCCAGUCACUCCCCAGAGAGCCCGCCUCCUGGUCCCACCGCAUCUGGGGCUGUGAGUCCAGCAUCUGAAUCUGCGAGGGGCACAAACUUUGCGGCUGUGACAACCGAUGCUUCUUGUAUUUGCUUGGCUGCAGCAUUUUUUUCCACCUUGCAGGAGUCUCUGCGAUCUCAUUUGCGAUUGCCUUUCCCAUACCCUCGCACACUCACUUUUUUCUGCCCAGAUUCAGUGGGUUGGUAGCAGUAACAGGAGAAAGUCACUAGGUCUGCCGAACAAGGCUCACUGAAGAAUUUUAAAAUAUUGAAGGACGGUCGCUGAAAGCAUCACGGUCCUGGUCUGGACUUUUCCCCCCGAAUUCAUAUCUGAGACGAGUGUGUUUUCAUUCACAGGACUGCGUUUCCUUUGGCCUCCAGGUACAUAGGAGAGUUAGGCUUGUUUUAAUUAUGUUGCUUUAUUUUCUUUCCACAAACCAAACAGAAAUGAAAAGAAUUCAGAAGCGCGUGCCGGUACCAUUCAAACCUUUCCAGAAGCGCCGGAAAUAAACAGCGGGACCCCGGUCUCGGCAUCGCUCUGAAGCCGGGCAGAUGCCGUGCAUCCAGCAUCAGUUCCCUGGGCCAGAUCUCCUGCCAUUUCCGUGGUCAUCUACAGAACCCAGGCUGAAAUGCAGAAACCACGGGGGUUGUUGGAGCCCAGCGUGGACAUUUCCACGUCUGCCCAGUUACAGCGGUAGUAAUGUUUGUCUCUGGUGUGUGGUGCACGUGGCCCGAAGCAGCAUCUGACGGCACAUUUCACGGUGGGUCGCCGAGAAGUUAUGCUUGGAGAACUUCUGCAUGAGAUAUUUUGGGAAACAGAACAGUGUGUCCUCGGGUUGUCCUGUGUGGCUGGUAUAUGCUUUUGUGUCUCUGCACUAAAUAAAAGCGCGUUUCACUGGCUGGCCUCGAGGGCAGCCGGGCUCGGAGCCAGCACUCAUUCAAUCAGGAAGAAAAACCCUCGGUGCCAACACACUGGAUGGGAGCGGGCCGUUUGUGAGCAGAGGGAGCCAACGGGAAAACAGAAGCAGCAGACGUCCGUCUCGGGCAGAUUCGGCCAGCUGGAUCGAUGAGUCUAAAGAAACAGAGCCUGAAGUCGGGAAGGAGCAGCCGCCGCGCACCGUGUGAGGGCAGCAAGCGCUGCCCUGGGGGCCCCGCGGAAGGAGCCUCCCCCGCCCGGCGUGGGCAGUGCAGUCACCCCGGACUGGGGGGAAGCUGGUGAUGCUGUACUGAGUCUGGUGCCCGCGGUCAUGAGGGGUCAGACGAAGGGUCUGCCCGGGGAAACCUGGGGGCCCCGCAGCAGAAUGUGAUCAGGUCGUGCCCUGCCGUCCUGAGUGAGGCUUCCUGCCUGGAGUGGCGCCGUGAGGCGAGAGGCGGCUCAGUCACAACUCUGCCGGAGGCCCUUCCUGCCCACAUUUCGGAGGGCAAACCUGAGCUUCUGUGUCUGCCUCGUGGGACUGCAGGGUGAAGGCAUCUCCCCCGGGGUCAGGAAAAGAUGGACGUGAACUUGGAACAGAGAUGCAUACAGAUUCUUCUCCCACUGUGUUCUGUUCAAGGUGUUUCUCCAAACAUAAGCCGAGAGCCUGGGCGUGGAGAGAGGAGAGACCUCAAGGGCCAGCCCAUGGCGACCGAGGGUCCACCUCCUCUCCGACUCCCUGAAUUUACUGAUUCUGACUCGUCAGUAAAGCGAAACCACGCAACCCGCGACCGUUUUGUGCCUAGAACGGCGUUUUUGGGGUCCGUCCACGGCGGACCAUCCGUCAGCACGUCACCGCGCAUCCCCUGCUUCCCACCGCGCUGUGGCUGCUGCCGUUUCUACCUGCCGUCUGUUCGGUGCGGACUGGUGUCUCGUUGCGUUGGAUUCGCAGUGUCCCAGCAACUCGUGACGCUGAGAACCUCCUCACGUGCGUCUUGACCACGUGGGUCUCUUCUUUAGAAAAGUCUCUGUCAAGUCCUUUGCUCGUUAAAACCGAUCAGGUCAUCUGUCUUCCUGCUGCUGGGUUGUAAGAGUUCCUUCCACGUCUGCGUCCUAGACCCUCAGCUUACGUGUGGUUUGCAAACAUUUCCCCUCAUUCUGCAGGCGGUUUCUUCAUUUCCUUGAUGGUUCCCUUCGACACACAAAACAUUUAACGUCGAUGAAGCCCGGCUCAUGUGUUUUUUCUUUUGCUGUUUAUGCCUCUGGUAGCACAUCAAAGAAUCUCACUGCCAGAUCCCAAGUCACGAGAUUCGCUCCUACAUUUUCUCCCGAUGGUCUUGUUCUGUUAGCUUUUCCAUUUCGAUCUUUGACCGCCUUUGAGCUACAUUUUACGUGUGGAGGGAGGUAGACCAGUUUCAUCCUCUUGCACGUGGAAAUCCAGUUUCCCAGCCCCUUUUCGCAAAGAGACUCUUCUUUCCGGAUUGAAUUAUCUCAGCAUCCUUGUCGAAAAGCAGUCGACCGUGGGUGUGUGAGUUAAGUUCUGGACUCCCCGUUCCAUUCCACUGCUUUGUAGGCGUGUCUUUGUGCCAGUGCCACACUGUUUCCGACUGACGUAGCAGCGUGUUAAUAUUGAGAUAGGGAGGUGUGAGUCCUGCAGCUCUGUUCCUAUUUCUCAAUAUCGUGUUGACUAUUUGGGACAACUUGCAAUUUCAUGAGAACUUUGAGUUCUGAUUCACCAGAUGUGAGGGGGAAGAAGCCGAAGCUGUUCUGAUAGGGAGUUCGCUGCAUCUGUGAAUUGCUUUGGGGUGCUUUGACGUCUUAGCAAUAUUAAAACUUUCAAUCUGUGAACACAGGAUAUAUUCCCUUUUUUUAUAUACAUCUUAUCUAAUUACUUUCAUUGAUGUUUAGUAGUUUCCAGUGUGCAAGUCUUACACCUUUUGAUUAAACUUAUUCCUGAGUAUUUUAUUCUUUUUGAUGCUGUUUUUAUAUGAAAGUUCUUUCCUAAUUUCAUUUUUGGAUCAUGCAUUGCUAGUGUAUAGAAAUACAACUAGCUUUUAUCUGUUGAACUUGUAUCCUGCAACUUUGCAGAAUUCUCUUAUUAGCUCUGGCAGUUUCCUGGGACGUAUUUAGGAUUUUCAAUAUUUAAGAUCGAGUCAUCUGCGGAUAGAGACGGUUCCACAUCUUCAUUUCCAGUCUGUAUGCCUUUUCUUGCCUAAUUGUUCCUGUGAGAACAACACAGCGUUGAACAGAGGAGGGAAGCGGGAAGCCUGUCUUGUUCCUGAACGAGGCUGGAAAGCCGUGCAUUUUUCCAUCAUGAAAGGCUGCCGGCUUUUGUCAGAGACUUUUUCUGUAUUGGUUGAGAUGAUCAUCUUUCUUCUUCAUCUUCUGUUGUGUUGGGUUGAAUGACUUUGGUGUGUUUUAACCAUCCUCACAUUCCUGAGAUAAAUCCCACUGGGUCGUGGAAUUUAUUAGUCCUUUCAAUAUGCUGCUAGAUCAGACUUCCUAGUAUUUUGCUGAUAUUUUAUGCACCAAUAUUCACAAGGGGAACUGGUGUGUGGUUUUCUUUCCUUGUGGCGUCUUUGUCUGGCUUCGCUGUGAGGGUGACACUGGCCUCCGGUCACGCUCUAGAGAGGGUUUCCUCCUCUUCCGUUUAUAAAGGAGGGUUUGAAGAGGUCUUGGCGCUUCUGAAUGUCGGGCAGCAUUCCCCAGUGCCGGCGUCUUGCCGUGGUUUGGACUGAGUCCUGCUUCAGUCGCUUGCCCUGUUACGGCUCUGCGCAGGUUUUCCCUUUCUUCCUGAGUCGCUUCUGUCACUUACGUGUUUCUAGGACGCCCCCCCCCACAGACUUUCUCAGAUCCCUUUUCUCAGUGGCACGUGUCACAGAGCGGCCGCCUGGUGAUUCCACGGUUAGCACCUAGGGUUGCCAGUGCCCAGGACGAUCAGAGCUGGGGCUCUCAGGCGGUGCCACGUGGAGCCUGACGGGCUGCAGCGCAGCAGAAGGCAGGGCCCCUCCAAGGAGAGAUUCUCGCCUGAUAGCUGCGCUGAGCCCUUCCCACGGCCCUGCCGAGGUCAGGACGCCCGUGGCCUUUCAAGGUAUCCAAACGAACAAACGUCUCCCCCAAGCAAACCAACCAACCAACCACCUUUGUCCUUCAUCCAGCAAGAACCAGAUUUCAGCCACUUGCCCCCAAGAGUCUUAACUUCUAAAGCUAUCCUCUCCAAACUGUGUAGAAUUUUGUUCCCACCACCCGUUACCAUGACGACCCACCUAUUGAUUGAGUUAGUUUCGUGAACAACGGAGGUGGCGAGGCCACUUACGGUGCUGGUCUUACCCAAGCAUAUCUUCGUCAGUGUGCUGGAUUAGGUUCUCCAGCUCCUGUAGACUCCACGUGCUUCCAGGACCCUAAAUGACCAGACGAUACUCUCAGAAAGCACAGCCCUCCCGGGGGUGACGUGAACGCCGCCGCAUGGGGAGCAGGGCAGGAAGAAGCAGAAACAGUACAAAGUCGUCAGCUCAGAAAUUCAGCUCUGAUCCGGGAAGAUCCCGAUUUGAGAGCAGAGCUUCAGUAGAACUGAUGAAUUAUAAAUCCUCUCCUCCCCAAGCUGCUUGCACAGAACCGUCCCACACCGUGCUCAUUCGCCACUUUAUUUAAUACUUCCGUUUCAGUUUUGGGGGAGGGGGGAGCAUCCAUGCUCCGAGGCCUGUGGGUUGAGCUAAUUAGCACCGAGGGCGGGCGGGGGUGGGGGCGGGGAGGACCUGGUCUGCUUUGUGAUGUUUGUGCAGCAAAGAAUGUCAGGGGAAAGAAAGCUUCUUUAUGUAACUUAAUGGGGGACUCUCCAUGUUCGCUACAGGAUUUCUCCAAGACUUCAAAUAAAUUAAAUGAAAUUUC